UUUCUUUGUUACCAUACAGAUUGUCAGGGACAGGAAGCAUCAACUGGUCCGACAAUAGUUAUGACAACAUUGCCGGAAAAAAAAAUCGGCUACAGACCUGACAACAGCAAAGGGGGAAAAGCUGGUAACAGACCCGGCAGUAAACCUGGCAACAGAUCCGGCAUCCAACCUGGCAACAGAUCCAGCAGCUGCAAAUCCAACUCCUGUACAAGAAAUUGGCAUGGGACAAUCAGAUCCCGUUCACACUACUGACAUGGCACAUGGAUUAGUUCCCAGCGCUGCUAAGACCAGUCUGCCUACAUCUGUACCAGAAGAAUCAAAAAAAUCUGCUGACCUCUACUGAAAAGGUGUUACAAGAAAUACAGAAAAAUGUAAAUCUAGGUAAAGAGAAUGAGAAGAGAGUGAUGCCUCUG
This is a long non-coding RNA of Puntigrus tetrazona (Sumatra barb), 413 nucleotides long. RefSeq lists it as uncharacterized. The record is from RefSeq and is a predicted model, not a curated record. Lineage: Eukaryota; Metazoa; Chordata; Actinopteri; Cypriniformes; Cyprinidae. The transcript has 3 exons.